GAUGAACGCUGGCGGCGUGCCUAACACAUGCAAGUCGAACGGAGAUUACGGACGGAAGUUUUCGGAUGGAAGCCUGUAAUUCUUAGUGGCGGACGGGUGAGUAACGCGUGGGCAACCUGCCCUAUACAGGGGGAUAGCAGCUGGAAACGGCUGGUAAGACCGCAUAAGUCGGUUAAAUCGCAUGAUUUGAUCGGGAAAUGAGCAAUCAGGUAUAGGAUGGGCCCGCGUCCGAUUAGCCAGUUGGCAGGGUAGAAGCCUACCAAAGCGACGAUCGGUAGCCGGACUGAGAGGUCGGACGGCCACAUUGGGACUGAGACACGGCCCAAACUCCUACGGGAGGCAGCAGUGGGGGAUAUUGCACAAUGGAGGAAACUCUGAUGCAGCGACGCCGCGUGAGUGAAGAAGUAUUUCGGUAUGUAAAGCUCUAUCAGCAGGGAAGAUGAUGACGGUACCUGACUAAGAAGCCCCGGCUAACUACGUG
RNAcentral lists this ribosomal RNA (481 nucleotides) under uncultured bacterium. RNAcentral describes it as "partial 16S ribosomal RNA". It matches the Rfam family "Bacterial small subunit ribosomal RNA", at positions 28 to 507 of the family's 1533-position model. The record is from RNAcentral.